This is a long non-coding RNA of Canis lupus familiaris (dog), 3741 nucleotides long. RefSeq lists it as uncharacterized. NCBI's taxonomy places the organism in Eukaryota, Metazoa, Chordata, Mammalia, Carnivora, Canidae. The transcript has 3 exons. The record is from RefSeq and is a predicted model, not a curated record.
UGUGGCAUUUAGAACACCUGGAUGCAAUUAUCACCGGUGUCAAUCUACAUAUGCAGAGGAAAGAAACAAUUUUCAUCCUUCCUGGAAUUUGUAUAAUUAGUCCACAGUAAUUAUUUAAAAAAAAAAUUCGAUGCUGAAAGUCUUUUCUCCCCUACAUUUUUAUGUUGACACUAUUGUAAGAGCAUCAUUACUGGUAUUUAGGAUGCGAAUAAUUGAACAAAGUUCUGUAUACUUAAGAGAUGGUCAGCAUAACCUCUUGGUAUCUUCUAAGGCCAUUCUGUUUUGAGUGGGUAUCCAUCUACUCCAGCUCUUGGCUGCAAAACCACAGGAAAGAGUGAGAGAGGCCACCGUGCUCACGGCUGUCAGCAGGACGGGAUUCUGUCCUCUGGAAGUACAAAGCGAUCACCUAAGAUACUCCGUUUAUUGGCUGGAAAACUGAAGCCCAAUCAGACAGCUGGUGUGAAGACAGCUCUGCCUGUUUGGAAGAGCACCUCAUCCCCCAGCCCGGGAUCCAAUUGAAGGAUAAUUUGUCCUGCUCUGAUGCUGGGGCUGCAGGAAGGCCCAGGACCCAGGAUCUCGUCUUAUCAACCCAUCACCUUGGCAAGGUUUAGCCUGAGUGUGAAGGCACAGGAGAGGUUUGCCUCAGUGGAGGGCAAUCGCGCCGAGGCCUCUAAAGUCCAUGGCAACAGGAAUUCUGCCACUCCGGCUCCUGGUUUCUCAGGCCUGUCCCUGCUGGGAGAGGCCUCCUCGGUCUUCCACCUGCGUGGGCCUAUCUGGUUAACCACCCAAGGCACAGCCCGUCUUCUGAAACAAAGAGCGCCAGCCAGCUGCCUCUGCUCUCCCUCGGCCUUGGAGGAAGCGCUGUGACAAAGCCCGCAGGACGCCAAGCAGGCUAACUUUGAAGAUGAGCCUCCACUGGCUGCAUUAUGAGGCCAGCGACACUUAUCAGACUGAUAAUCUAAAGAUGCUUUUGCCCCUGGAGCAGUAUCUCAUUCCAGGGCAGCUGCACAGAGACCUCGGCACAGGCGUUUUGAGCCCUGCAGCCCAGCUAAGAGAUGCACCAGCUAAGAGACACACCCCGGGCUGUGGCUUCUCCUGCAGACUGGAAGAGAAUGGCCUCCAACAGGGAACAGACGCAUUGUGUUUCUCCCACUAGAGAAGAAGCAAUACUGAGCCUGCAUACUGGCCUUGGAGGGGACACAAUUAAACAUCAGCAGAUCUCAGAUUCGAACUAAAACACAAAACUUUCAGAAGUCUGGAAAAUCUUUUCUAUGCCAAAAUAACCAAUACUUUUGUCUCGAAGGACUUAGAAUCACAACCGGGGGCUGUUGAAAAAAAGAAUAAAGAAAGCAAUUAUGGCAAGCAGAAGUAGAAAACAUUUUCCGCUCUGCAAAUUGGAAGAGACGGAAGCCACAUGUUACAGCUUUCACUUUUACCGGCUGCAUGUGUGUAAAAUACGGUGCUUCCUGCCGUGAAAAUAGGGUAAACUCAACAAAUUAGAAACUUUCUUGUGUGAAUUCAUUUAAAGUAGUUCUAAAUUUCACCAAUGUAAUGUGUUAGUGGAAAUGUCCCUUUAUUUGAAUAUGUUCUAAAUUUGCACAAACAGGAGUACUUUAUGAGAGACAAGUGCAUGGUGGUCACGUUUAUGCCUCUAAUCCCUCGGAAACAGGACCUCUUGUCCUUAGAGAAGAAGAGACCUCCAGUGGGGCUGGGAGUGUUUCCAAUCGUGUGGCUCAUAGUUGGAGUGGACGCUGGCGACCUGCUCUCAGCAGCUCCCAGAGCAAGGUUGGAAAAGAAACUCAGAACCCCACCUCCUUGGCAAUUGUGUUCUCCAGUUCUGCCAAAUUGAUGCCCUGGUGGGAGACUCUGAAUUGGACCUGACUUACGUGGAGGAGGCAAGGUGCUGCUUCCCUGCUUGUAUGAGUUAGAUGGUGGCUGGCGCCGCAUAGAUCUGGAGUCUGGGCGUCCUGGGGCAGGUGCCCGAGUCUGCAGGGGGCUGAUUUGGUGGAAAUGUGGUUCUACAAGGAGCGGCAGUGCAAACAAUCCCUCGAUUUACUAUAGAAGAGGACAGUCUGGUGACCUGAGAGGUGCCUCUGGGAGCCCCACGAGGUGCCCCUGGGAGCCCCACUAGAGCCUGUUUCUCCCGUCUCCCUAAUGACUUUGCAAAUGUGCACGUCCUGGUAUUCAGUCCCUUUGACUUAACCCUAUCGGAGUGGGUGGUGUCGCCAGCAGCCAGACGCUGGGUGGAGCACUGGUGAAGAGCUGGUCAACAGUGUGGGUCCAUGAAAGAAGUGUCAUUCCUGGUGUACACACAGAUUUCUUGGUACAGAGAAGGCCCCUUGUAAGAAGCACAGACCUUGUGUAAAGGUCCCCAGGCACAUUGAUUGGUGUGUCCGCAGUGAAACAGAAGCAGCUGACUGAGGAUGGAGAGCUCCAGGCCUCUGCCGGAAUAGCUUGGUUGGGGAGAAACACACCAGCCCUUCUUGGGAAGGCUUGCGGCAGGCCCAGCAGGUCCCCACAAGGAGAAAUCCUCCUGCUGAUGUGCUGUCAAUGUGGGUUGGGAUCUUCAUGGAUUGCAAGAGGCUGGUUUACAGAGGCUGCUGUAACCUCUGUAAGCUAGACCUCGUAUAUGGAGAUGCAAGCAGGAAGUUCUUCCUAAAGAAACUCGUGGCUGAUUUAAUGCUUUCUGCCACGAGAGCUGCCCAAAGUCAGGAAUGCCCUCUUGGUAAAACACACUUUAUAGCUUUCAGGAAGUCAGAGUACUUUUGGUAAGGGUCACUUUUCCACCCCCGAGACUCGUUAAUGAUGGUGAUUGCAACUAGCUGAAGCAAUAUCCUAGAAAUUACUAUUAAAUGUAGUUUUUUUUCUUUGCAUGGGGAACAAUUUCAAAGCAUAUGGUAUGCGCUGGAGAUCUAAUUGGGGCAAGCACCCCCUGAAUGCCUGUGUUAAUCGCUAUCUUGAGAAUGUAGAGAUCCGUCCUCCCUCUAUGUUCCAAUCAAGCAGAAUGCUCAGAAGGACACGUUGUUCAGUGUUCAAGGUCAGGAGCUCCUGGGGUGGCCAACUCGGAGUGUCUCCCUUGUGACAAAGGUGCCCAAGGGGCAGGCCUUGAUGUCCUCAACACGCUGGCCAUGCAAGGAGGAGAAGACCGCCGACAGUUUCUAGGCUAGCUUGCUGGGCUUUACAACCUCCCUGUGCUUCAAGCCCAGCGGCGGAUAUUUUAUCCAGUCGGCCACUCCGGAGGCCUGUGCUUCAGUUCCCCAGUAAACCUGUGUAUUUGUCGCUGUCUCCAGGGCUUUUAUUUGGCCUCACCAGACCAUCACCGACCCUUGGCUAAGUCUGCUAGGGCGGAGCUGCACAUAAAGUACUUAAGUAUCUACGGCUGUAGCCACCACCUCAUGUAUUGUGAAUCAGGGGAAGUUGUAAUGAGGCAAGGCUGCCAGGCUCUAGUUGUGGUCCUGAACCUAUAGAUGUGUGGUCUUGGGAUGGUCAUUCACUGGUGUAAGUCUCAGCGCUUUUAUUUGUAAACUGCCUGAUGUACUAAAGUAACUAGAAAAAAUAAAAAAUAAAGUAACAAGAGCCCUUUCACCUGUAAAGCUGUACAAUUUGUUACAUGUGUACAUGUGAAAACCCUUUGCCUUCUAAAUAUGCUUCUAAAAGUUUUAACCGGGAUCCCUGGGUGCUGCAGCGGUUUAGCGCCUGCCUUUAGCUCAGGGCGCGAUCCUGGAGACCUGGGAUCGAAUC